Molecule: RNA transcript, 1197 nt
Organism: Colius striatus (speckled mousebird)
Lineage: Eukaryota; Metazoa; Chordata; Aves; Coliiformes; Coliidae
Gene: AKAP19
Gene name: chromosome 9 C2orf88 homolog
Exons: 6
Source: RefSeq, a predicted model, not a curated record
CAGUGCUGCUGCCGCCGCCGCUCCGGCCGGGCCGUGCCGUGCCGCGGAGAGCGCCCGGCGGAGCGGCGCGGAGGGGAGCAGCGCGGCGUGAGUGGCGGCGGCGGGAACAGGAAUCUGGAGGACGCGGCGUCGUCAGGACGAGGGGCUGGUCCUGCAGGCACCUUGGGAGGAAGGGGCUGCCGUCUCCAGAUUGACCGGCUGCAGGAGUUUUGCUCUAUGGAUGGAAGCGUGCUGGUGGGAUCAUGUUUUCAAGAUGCUCUUUGCACUUAAACCGCCCCCACCGUGCUGAGUCGCAGUCGUGAAGCUGUCGGUGUUCUACUGGGAACAAGUGGGACAACUUGUUAAAAGCAGACACGUCUUUGCUUGAGAUAUCGAUCACUACAUGAAGAGAACAAAGUCUGAAGACUUCUAGGCUACCUUAUCUUGGCAUACCAAUGAGGCUGAAGGUGGAGGAGGCACUGUCAUAAAUCAAGCUGAAGGAAGAGGAACAAGGAAAGAAAACGGGUCGGUGUAAUUGCAGAAAAAUGAAUCAUCGGUGCAUCUAUAAAUAAAUUCCCUAUACAAAGAAGAGGAGGGGACUGGUACCAGGGAACAAGACUGAAAAGGAGAUAGUGAAAAGGCUGAACCACGAAGACUUCCCACAAAGCAUGUACCCAAUCAAAAGGCAUCACCACCAUAUGGCUUGGAAUUCUGCAGGCCAAGUGACCAACUGAGUGUUGCCAAAAGCAAUAUCUAAAUGCUGAACACUUCUUGUGUUUAAUUCUGGUUUUAAUAUGUGCAUCUCUUUUUCUUAUCCAGAUGUUAAAUUUAACUUUGUCUGACAAUUAGCUUGCUUUGGCAUGUCUUUUCUUUCUAACUCGCUUGAAACAGUCUGUUCUUUCUCAUCCUAUAAAUGUGAUCUCAUUGGCCAAUGAACUCACACAGAUUUUCAUUCUUUAAAUCAGUACACUAAGAAGUGUCAGGCUGAAUUUUAAAAUUGGGUUUGGAUAAUGUAUGUACAGUGGAUGGAUGUGAGCAGAGCUACUAACCUUUAUUUGUGGGUGAAUUUGUUGGAUCAUAGAAAAACUUAGUGCAUUGAGAGCUUUGGGUCUAUUCAAAGUUAUUAUUCCUGCACUUCCUUUCUUUUCGAACACCACUUCAUCUGUAGAAUUUGUAUGCUUAGACAUCUUCUGUACAUGCAAAAAACAAAUAAAUAAA